This 441-nucleotide ribosomal RNA is filed under the name uncultured bacterium. RNAcentral describes it as "partial 16S ribosomal RNA". It matches the Rfam family "Bacterial small subunit ribosomal RNA", at positions 339 to 795 of the family's 1533-position model. The record is from RNAcentral.
CUACGGGGUGCACCAGUGAGGAAUCUUCCGCAAUGGGCGAAAGCCUGACGGAGCGACACCGCGUGAAGGAUGAAGGCCUUUUGGUUGUAAACUUCUUUUCUGGGGGAAUAAAUGAUGAAGGUACCCCAGGAAUAAGCACCGGCUAAUUACGUGCCAGCAGCCGCGGUAAUACGUAAGGUGCAAGCGUUAUCCGGAAUUAUUGGGCGUAAAGCGUUCGUAGGUGGUUUAGAAAGUUUGUAGUUAAAUCUGGUCGCUCAACGAUCAACUCGCUACAAAAACUUCUAAACUAGAGAUUGGCAGAGGUAACUGGAAUUCCACAUGUAGGGGUAAAAUCCGUUGAUAUGUGGAGGAACACCAAAAGCGAAGGCAGGUUACUGGGCCAUUUCUGACGCUGAGGAACGAAAGCGUGGGGAGCAAACAGGAUUAGAUACCCGAGUAGUC